This is a long non-coding RNA of Ostrea edulis (European flat oyster), 2869 nucleotides long. RefSeq lists it as uncharacterized. The record is from RefSeq and is a predicted model, not a curated record. The transcript has 4 exons. NCBI's taxonomy places the organism in Eukaryota, Metazoa, Mollusca, Bivalvia, Ostreida, Ostreidae.
GGUAUUCUUAGUGAGCAUUGCUCACAGUACCUCUUGUUUUAACAGUUUUUUGUUUUUUUUUUACAAUAACUAUCGGAAAAGACUAACAAAAUUUAUGUUCCUAUCAUGCAUAAAUCUAAAUAAAUCAUUGAUUUUGCAAAAUCUGAUGACAUCAUAGGAGGGUGGAAUUACUUUAAGUUAUGUUUAGUGCUGUGUGUAUAUAAACAUGCACUCAUAUAAUUAUAUCUUCCCUCUUCCAGGGGGAGACAUAUUGUAUUUGUACUUUCUGUCCGUCCUUCCUUCUGUCACAAAAUCUUGUGAACGCUUCUCCACCUAUAUGGCUUAUCAGAUAGACUUGAAACUUUGUACAAUGCUUCAUUGUCAUUUACAGAUGUGAAUAUUGUUGGGACGGGAGGAUCCAAUUGUUUUCCUAAGAGUUAUAGUGGAUCUAAGAGGGGUGGAAGAUGUAAAAUAGCUUAUGAACUCUUCUCCUCCCAUAUGGCUUAUUGGAUAGACUUGAAACUUUGUACAAUGCUUAAUUGUCAUUUGUAGAUGUGCAUAUUGUCGGAAUGGGAGGAUCCAAAGUUUUUCCUAAAAGAUAUAGUGGAUCUAAAAGGGGUGGAGGAUGUUAAAAUACCUUGUGAACACUUCUCCUAUAUGGCUUAUCUGAUAGACUUGAGAAUUUGUACAAUGCUUCAAUGCCAUUUGUAGAUGUGUAAGUUGUAGGGACAGGAGGAUCCAAUUGCUAUCCUUAAAGUUAAAGUGGAUCUGAGGGGUGUAGGGUAUAAAAUAGUUUGUGAACGCUUCUCCUCCUAUAUGGCUUAUCAGAGUUCAUGUCUAUCUUCCUGCCCAUGCUUUCUCCUUCAUACUAUUCAAUACAUUAAGGGGGAUGUUUCCUAUAUUUUACGAAUUAAUUGGUUGAUUGACAACAAACUUGGUACACUUGUACAGCAUAUAUAAGGAGUAGAUGACCCCUAUUGAUUCUUAGGUCACAUGGUCAGUCCACUCUUGACAUAGGAAGGUAUUGUCUGCUCAAUAUUUUGAAUUGGUGAUACUACUAUCAAUUAAAUGAGGCACGGGUAUAACCCUUUCAAUUUUGCAACUUGGGGGCAUAUGUGUUUUAGAAACAUCUCUUGUGUUGUAUUAUAUGAAUUACAGGUUUUAGUGUGCUCAGUUUAGAGAAUAGCAUAAAAGUAUUUGAUAAUUAAAUAUCUUGCAGAUUGGCAGUUUACUCCAUGCACCGACAGGAAUGAUAAACUGUGAUAUUCGUAAAUGGAACUGGGACACGUUCUAAAUAUACUCAGGGACAGAAUGAUGUGCAGCAAGGCUCGUCAUGGAUUUUACCAAAUACAGAACACUGCAAGGCUUGCAAAAUGAAGACCUCAGUAAAAAAAAAUUCUAAAUUAUCCACUAAUGGCAGCUCACUACCUGCCCCUAGUGAUGUUAAAAGAGGCCGUUGUUCUCAUUUGUUCCAAAACAGGAAUGGCAUAUGAGGAGGCCAACAGAAGAUGCACCUCCACUGACCUCCACUGAGUGUGCACUCACAAAACGAAUAAAUUAUUAUUAUUUCUUUUGUUUGUAAUUGUAUGUUGUCAACAAGGUCAAAGGCACUUGAUCCGAUGCCAAACUUUUGCAUUUCUUUUGCUUUGUGGUAAAUUUUCUUCAGCAACAUCAACAUUGUUUAAAUUGUUUUCUUUGGAGAGUAUACAUGUACACAUGGAUCAUUUGUAUAUUAGAAUUAUAGCAUUGUUUAAUUCAACUCAUUCUUAUCCUAGAGAUGUUAUUAUAUACUGCAGGCAACGACUUGUAAAGGGUAUACUGUUUUAACUCACGUGCAAGGCAAGGCAGUAUUAUGAAACUCUGUAGUUGAUAAGGACAUAUAUCACAUAUCGAUAUGCAUAUUUACAGGAAACUCUGAUGUAUUUUAAAUCUGAACGUUAAUUUAAAAGUGGGGAGAAAUAGCAUUGGAUGAAAAAAGACACAUAUGAAGAAAAUUAUUCCAUACGUAAAUACUUUUUAGCUCACCUGAGCUGAAAGCUCAAGUGAGCUUUUCUGAUCGCCUGUUGUUCAUUGUCUGUCCGUGAUUAAACAUUUUAUAUUUUCUCCAGAAGCAAUGGGCCAAUAAUAACCAAACUUAGCCAAAAGUAUCCUUGGGUAAAGGGCUUUCGAGUUUGUUCAAAUGAAGGGCCAUGCCCUCUUCAAAGGGGAGAUGACCACAAAAAUAGGGUGGGUCAUUUAAUUUUUUUUUAUCAAGAACCACUGGGCCAGAAGAGCUAAAAUGUACAUGAAAGCUUCUUGACAUAGUACAGAUUCAAGUUUAUUGAAAUCAUGGCCUCCAGGGGUUGUAUGGGGCCACAAUAGAGAAUCAAAGUUUUACAUACAAUUAUUCAGGAAAAAUCUUUCAAUAUGAGCCAAGGUGGCUCAGGUGAGCGAUGUGGCCCAUGGGCCUCUUGUUCAACAUAUAGAAUAAAUACAUGUAGUUAUGUUGUAUUUCCCAUGGAACAUUGAAACGUUUAAUGCGUUUACCAAUUAAUCACUGAAAGAAAGAUAAAAUUGUUGUUUCAUAUGUUUUAUGAAAACUUAAAUUUUUUUUCAUUUCUUUUCAUGAAAGACCCCUUAAUUACCCAGUAAUAUAUAAUCAAUUCUUAACAGAUUAUGUAAAUUUGAUUUAUAUUAAGGAUGUUUGAUCUGAUUACCCAUCAUUAUCAAUCUGUCUAAUAUAGCCAUCAUGUGUUACUAUUGCUACGCAAUCUUGGAGCAUGAGGUAGAAUGCGAGCCAGCUCUUUCAUAAGUACAUGCAUCUGGAAAAUAUAUUUCAAUGUCAAAGGUUACAACAAUGUGAUAAUGUAAUCAUUGUAUGUCUAAGGUCUUGAUAAUAAAACUGUUAUCU